Molecule: long non-coding RNA, 267 nt
Organism: Malurus melanocephalus (red-backed fairy wren)
Lineage: Eukaryota; Metazoa; Chordata; Aves; Passeriformes; Maluridae
Exons: 3
Source: RefSeq, a predicted model, not a curated record
UUUGCAUUUUGAACCUUACUGUUGCUUUUAUAGUGGAAAGCUCUGAAAGGCAUCAAGGGCCAAUUACACAGACAGAGAUAGACGUGACCUGGACCAUUCUGUUACCGUAACAAACGUCUCCAGAGGUUGCUCGACAGAGGAGACACUUUGCCUGAGGGAGAAGGAAUGAGAGGCUGGAAGGUGGCCUGUGGAGAAGAGGAUGGAGGGACUCCAGAGGGCAGCUGGACUCUUGCUGCAGGAGCUGUGCURGGAUGGCUAAAGCAGCGU